Molecule: ribosomal RNA, 395 nt
Filed under: uncultured bacterium
Lineage: Bacteria
Description: bacterial SSU rRNA
Rfam family: Bacterial small subunit ribosomal RNA
Source: RNAcentral
AUAUUGAACAAUGGGGGAAACCCUGAUGCAGCGACGCCGCGUGAGUGAAGAAGUAUUUCGGUAUGGAAAGCUCUAUCAGCAGGGAAGAAGAAUGACGGUACCUGAAUAAGAAGCACCGGCUAAAUAAGGGGCAACAGCCGCGGUAAUACGUAUGGUGCAAGCGUUAUCCGGAUUUACUGGGUGUAAAGGGAGCGCAGGCGGUACGGCAAGUCUGAUGUGAAAGCCCGGGGCUCAACCCCGGUACUGCAUUGGAAACUGUCGGACUAGAGUGUCGGAGGGGUAAGUGGAAUUCCUAGUGUAGCGGUGAAAUGCGUAGAUAUUAGGAGGAACACCAGUGGCGAAGGCGGCUUACUGGACGAUAACUGACGCUGAGGCUCGAAAGCGUGGGGAGCAAA